This 2900-nucleotide ribosomal RNA is filed under the name Enterobacter bugandensis. Its description in RNAcentral is "23S ribosomal RNA". It matches the Rfam family "Bacterial large subunit ribosomal RNA". The record is from RNAcentral. Lineage: Bacteria; Pseudomonadati; Pseudomonadota; Gammaproteobacteria; Enterobacterales; Enterobacteriaceae.
UUAAGCGACUAAGCGUACACGGUGGAUGCCCUGGCAGUCAGAGGCGAUGAAGGACGUGCUAAUCUGCGAAAAGCGACGGCGAGGUGAUAUGAACCUUUGACCCGUCGAUGUCCGAAUGGGGAAACCCAGUGUGUUUCGACACACUAUCGUUAACUGAAUACAUAGGUUAACGAGGCGAACCGGGGGAACUGAAACAUCUAAGUACCCCGAGGAAAAGAAAUCAACCGAGAUUCCCCCAGUAGCGGCGAGCGAACGGGGAGCAGCCCGGAGUCUGAAUCAGCUUGUGUGUUAGUGGAAGCGUCUGGAAAGUCGCACGGUACAGGGUGACAGUCCCGUACACGAAAAUGCACAGGUUGUGAACUCGAAGAGUAGGGCGGGACACGUGGUAUCCUGUCUGAAUAUGGGGGGACCAUCCUCCAAGGCUAAAUACUCCUGACUGACCGAUAGUGAACCAGUACCGUGAGGGAAAGGCGAAAAGAACCCCGGCGAGGGGAGUGAAAAAGAACCUGAAACCGUGUACGUACAAGCAGUGGGAGCACCUUCGGGUGUGACUGCGUACCUUUUGUAUAAUGGGUCAGCGACUUAUAUUCUGUAGCAAGGUUAACCGUAUAGGGGAGCCGCAGGGAAACCGAGUCUUAACUGGGCGUUAAGUUGCAGGGUAUAGACCCGAAACCCGGUGAUCUAGCCAUGGGCAGGUUGAAGGUUGGGUAACACUAACUGGAGGACCGAACCGACUAAUGUUGAAAAAUUAGCGGAUGACCUGUGGCUGGGGGUGAAAGGCCAAUCAAACCGGGAGAUAGCUGGUUCUCCCCGAAAGCUAUUUAGGUAGCGCCUCGUGAACUCAUCUUCGGGGGUAGAGCACUGUUUCGGCUAGGGGGCCAUCCCGGCUUACCAACCCGAUGCAAACUACGAAUACCGAAGAAUGUUAUCACGGGAGACACACGGCGGGUGCUAACGUCCGUCGUGAAGAGGGAAACAACCCAGACCGCCAGCUAAGGUCCCAAAGUCAUGGUUAAGUGGGAAACGAUGUGGGAAGGCACAGACAGCCAGGAUGUUGGCUUAGAAGCAGCCAUCAUUUAAAGAAAGCGUAAUAGCUCACUGGUCGAGUCGGCCUGCGCGGAAGAUGUAACGGGGCUAAACCAUGCACCGAAGCUGCGGCAGCGACACUAUGUGUUGUUGGGUAGGGGAGCGUUCUGUAAGCCGUUGAAGGUGUGCUGUGAGGCAUGCUGGAGGUAUCAGAAGUGCGAAUGCUGACAUAAGUAACGAUAAAGCGGGUGAAAAGCCCGCUCGCCGGAAGACCAAGGGUUCCUGUCCAACGUUAAUCGGGGCAGGGUGAGUCGACCCCUAAGGCGAGGCCGAAAGGCGUAGUCGAUGGGAAACAGGUUAAUAUUCCUGUACUUGGUGUUACUGCGAAGGGGGGACGGAGAAGGCUAUGUCAGCCGGGCGACGGUUGUCCCGGUUUAAGCGUGUAGGUGUGUGUUCCAGGCAAAUCCGGUUCACUUUAACACUGAGGCGUGAUGACGAGGCACUACGGUGCUGAAGUGAUAAAUGCCCUGCUUCCAGGAAAAGCCUCUAAGCAUCAGGUAACACGAAAUCGUACCCCAAACCGACACAGGUGGUCAGGUAGAGAAUACCAAGGCGCUUGAGAGAACUCGGGUGAAGGAACUAGGCAAAAUGGUGCCGUAACUUCGGGAGAAGGCACGCUGAUAUGUAGGUGAAGCCCCUGCGGGCGGAGCUGAAAUCAGUCGAAGAUACCAGCUGGCUGCAACUGUUUAUUAAAAACACAGCACUGUGCAAACACGAAAGUGGACGUAUACGGUGUGACGCCUGCCCGGUGCCGGAAGGUUAAUUGAUGGGGUUAGCGGCAACGCGAAGCUCUUGAUCGAAGCCCCGGUAAACGGCGGCCGUAACUAUAACGGUCCUAAGGUAGCGAAAUUCCUUGUCGGGUAAGUUCCGACCUGCACGAAUGGCGUAAUGAUGGCCAGGCUGUCUCCACCCGAGACUCAGUGAAAUUGAACUCGCUGUGAAGAUGCAGUGUACCCGCGGCAAGACGGAAAGACCCCGUGAACCUUUACUAUAGCUUGACACUGAACACUGGUCCUUGAUGUGUAGGAUAGGUGGGAGGCUUUGAAGCGUGGACGCCAGUCUGCGUGGAGCCGUCCUUGAAAUACCACCCUUUAAUGGCUGGUGUUCUAACGUGGACCCGUAAUCCGGGUUGCGGACAGUGUCUGGUGGGUAGUUUGACUGGGGCGGUCUCCUCCCAAAGAGUAACGGAGGAGCACGAAGGUUAGCUAAUCCUGGUCGGACAUCAGGAGGUUAGUGCAAUGGCAUAAGCUAGCUUGACUGCGAGAGUGACGGCUCGAGCAGGUGCGAAAGCAGGUCAUAGUGAUCCGGUGGUUCUGAAUGGAAGGGCCAUCGCUCAACGGAUAAAAGGUACUCCGGGGAUAACAGGCUGAUACCGCCCAAGAGUUCAUAUCGACGGCGGUGUUUGGCACCUCGAUGUCGGCUCAUCACAUCCUGGGGCUGAAGUAGGUCCCAAGGGUAUGGCUGUUCGCCAUUUAAAGUGGUACGCGAGCUGGGUUUAGAACGUCGUGAGACAGUUCGGUCCCUAUCUGCCGUGGGCGCUGGAGAAUUGAGGGGGGCUGCUCCUAGUACGAGAGGACCGGAGUGGACGCAUCACUGGUGUUCGGGUUGUCAUGCCAAUGGCACUGCCCGGUAGCUAAAUGCGGAAGAGAUAAGUGCUGAAAGCAUCUAAGCACGAAACUUGCCCCGAGAUGAGUUCUCCCUGAGACUUUAAGUCUCCUGAAGGAACGUUGAAGACGACGACGUUGAUAGGCCGGGUGUGUAAGCGCAGCGAUGCGUUGAGCUAACCGGUACUAAUGAACCGUGAGGCUUAACCU